RNAcentral lists this ribosomal RNA (732 nucleotides) under uncultured bacterium. Its description in RNAcentral is "bacterial SSU rRNA". It matches the Rfam family "Bacterial small subunit ribosomal RNA", at positions 788 to 1519 of the family's 1533-position model. The record is from RNAcentral.
UGGUAGUCCACGCUGUAAACGAUGUCGAUUUAGAGGUUGUGGUCUUGAACUGUGGCUUCUGGAGCUAACGCGUUAAAUCGACCGCCUGGGGAGUACGGCCGCAAGGUUAAAACUCAAAUGAAUUGACGGGGGCCCGCACAAGCGGUGGAGCAUGUGGUUUAAUUCGAUGCAACGCGAAGAACCUUACCUACUCUUGACAUCCAGCGAAUCCUUUAGAGAUAGAGGAGUGCCUUCGGGAACGCUGAGACAGGUGCUGCAUGGCUGUCGUCAGCUCGUGUUGUGAAAUGUUGGGUUAAGUCCCGCAACGAGCGCAACCCUUAUCCUUUGUUGCCAGCACGUGAUGGUGGGAACUCAAAGGAGACUGCCGGUGAUAAACCGGAGGAAGGUGGGGAUGACGUCAAGUCAUCAUGGCCCUUACGAGUAGGGCUACACACGUGCUACAAUGGCAGAUACAAAGAGAAGCGACCUCGCGAGAGCAAGCGGAACUCAUAAAGUCUGUCGUAGUCCGGAUUGGAGUCUGCAACUCGACUCCAUGAAGUCGGAAUCGCUAGUAAUCGUAGAUCAGAAUGCUACGGUGAAUACGUUCCCGGGCCUUGUACACACCGCCCGUCACACCAUGGGAGUGGGUUGCAAAAGAAGUAGGUAGCUUAACCUGCGGGAGGGCGCUUACCACUUUGUGAUUCAUGACUGGGGUGAAGUCGUAACAAGGUAACCAAGGGCGAAUUCGCGGCC